UGGCUCAUUAUAUAAGUUAUCGUUUAUUUGAUAGUACCUUACUACUUGGAUAACCGUGGUAAUUCUAGAGCUAAUACAUGCUGAAAAUCCCGACUUCGGAAGGGAUGUAUUUAUUAGAUUAAAAACCAAUGCCCUCUGGGCUCCUUGGUGAUUCAUAAUAACUUUUCGAAUCGCACGGCCUUGCGCCGGCGAUGGUUCAUUCAAAUUUCUUCCCUAUCAACUUUCGAUGUUUGGGUAUUGGCCAAACAUGGUUGCAACGGGUAACGGAGGGUUAGGGCUCGACCCCGGAGAAGGAGCCUGAGAAACGGCUACUACAUCCAAGGAAGGCAGCAGGCGCGCAAAUUACCCAAUCCCGAUUCGGGGAGGUAGUGACAAUAAAUACUGAUACAGGGCUCUUUUGGGUCUUGUAAUUGGAAUGAGUACAAUUUAAAUCUCUUAACGAGGAACAAUUGGAGGGCAAGUCUGGUGCCAGCAGCCGCGGUAAUUCCAGCUCCAAUAGCGUAUAUUAAAGUUGUUGUGGUUAAAAAGCUCGUAGUUGAACCUUGGGCCUGGCUGGCCGGUCCGCCUCACCGCGUGUACUGGUCCGGCCGGGCCUUUCCCUCUGUGGAACCUCAUGCCCUUCACUGGGUGUGGCGGGGAAACAGGACUUUUACUUUGAAAAAAUUAGAGUGCUCCAGGCAGGCCUAUGCUCGAAUACAUUAGCAUGGAAUAAUAAAAUAGGACGCGUGGUUCUAUUUUGUUGGUUUCUAGGACCGCCGUAAUGAUUAAUAGGGACAGUCGGGGGCAUCAGUAUUCAAUUGUCAGAGGUGAAAUUCUUAGAUUUAUUGAAGACUAACUACUGCGAAAGCAUUUGCCAAGGAUGUUUUCAUUAAUCAGGAACGAAAGUUAGGGGAUCGAAGACGAUCAGAUACCGUCGUAGUCUUAACCAUAAACUAUGCCGACUAGGGAUCGGACGAUGUUAUUUUUUNGACGCGUUCGGCACCUUACGAGAAAUCAAAGUGCUUGG
Molecule: ribosomal RNA, 1006 nt
Filed under: Beauveria sp.
Lineage: Eukaryota; Fungi; Ascomycota; Sordariomycetes; Hypocreales; Cordycipitaceae
Description: SSU rRNA
Rfam family: Eukaryotic small subunit ribosomal RNA
Source: RNAcentral